GAUAAACGCUGGCGGCGUGCCUAAUGCAUGCAAGUCGAACGGAUAGUUUUCUUCGGAAGAUUAUUAGUGGCAAACGGGUGAGUAACACGUGGGGAUCUGCCCAGUAGUGGGGAACAACUCCUCGAAAGAGGAGCUAAUACCGCAUACGGUCUCUCUUAGCCGAGAAGACUAAAGCCUUUCGGGGCGCUAUUGGAGGAACCUGCGGCUGAUUAGCUAGUUGGUGAGGUAAAGGCCUACCAAGGCGAUGAUCAGUAGCUGGUCUGAGAGGAUGGACAGCCACACUGGGACUGAGAUACGGCCCAGACUCCUACGGGAGGCAGCAGCAAGGAAUUUUCGUCAAUGGGGGAAACCCUGAACGAGCAACGCCGCGUGGGCGAAGAAGUCCU
RNAcentral lists this ribosomal RNA (386 nucleotides) under uncultured bacterium. RNAcentral describes it as "bacterial SSU rRNA". It matches the Rfam family "Bacterial small subunit ribosomal RNA", at positions 28 to 417 of the family's 1533-position model. The record is from RNAcentral.